This 460-nucleotide ribosomal RNA is filed under the name uncultured bacterium. RNAcentral describes it as "partial 16S ribosomal RNA". It matches the Rfam family "Bacterial small subunit ribosomal RNA", at positions 338 to 795 of the family's 1533-position model. The record is from RNAcentral.
CCUACGGGGGGCAGCAGUGAGGAAUAUUGGUCAAUGGCCGGAAGGCUGAACCAGCCAAGUCGCGUGAGGGACGACUGCCCUAUGGGUUGUAAACCUCUUUUAUAAGGGACGAAUAAAUGCUACGUGUAGCAUGAUGCCUGUACCUUAUGAAUAAGCAUCGGCUAACUCCGUGCCAGCAGCCGCGGUAAUACGGAGGAUGCAAGCGUUGUCCGGAAUUACUGGGCGUAAAGGGCGCGUAGGUGGGCGCUUAAGUCAGGUGUGAAAACUCCGGGCUCAACCUGGAGACUGCACUUGAAACUGGGUGUCUUGAGGGCAGGAGAGGAAAGUGGAAUUCCUAGUGUAGCGGUGAAAUGCGUAGAUAUUAGGAGGAACACCAGUGGCGAAGGCGACUAUCUGGCACAUAACUGACGCUGAGGAGCGAAAGCGUGGGUAGCAAACAGGAUUAGAUACCCUAGUAGUC